Molecule: ribosomal RNA, 246 nt
Filed under: uncultured bacterium
Lineage: Bacteria
Description: partial small subunit ribosomal RNA
Rfam family: Bacterial small subunit ribosomal RNA
Source: RNAcentral
AGAAUCAACGCUGGCGGCGUGCCUAACACAUGCAAGUCGAGCGAGCCUUCGGGCGAGCGGCGAACGGGUGAGUAACACGUGGGCAACCUGCCCCAAGCUCUGGGAUAACCCCGGGAAACCGGGGCUAAUACCGGAUAUGACCUUAGAAGACAUCUUCUUUGGUGGAAAGUUUUUCGGCUUGGGAUGGGCCCGCGGCCUAUCAGCUUGUUGGUGGGUAACGGCCUACCAAGGCGACGACGGGUAGCC